GAUGAACGCUGGCGGCGUGCCUAAUACAUGCAAGUCGAGCGAACGGACGAGAAGCUUGCUUCUCUGAUGUUAGCGGCGGACGGGUGAGUAACACGUGGAUAACCUACCUAUAAGACUGGGAUAACUUCGGGAAACCGGAGCUAAUACCGGAUAAUAUUUUGAACCGCAUGGUUCAAAAGUGAAAGACGGUCUUGCUGUCACUUAUAGAUGGAUCCGCGCUGCAUUAGCUAGUUGGUAAGGUAACGGCUUACCAAGGCAACGGUGCAUAGCCGACCUGAGAGGGUGAUCGGCCACCCGGGAACCGAGAACCGGUCCAGACCACGAGGGGAGGCCACAGUAGGGAAUCUUCCGGAAUGGGCGAAAGCCUAACCGAGCAAAGCCGCGUGAGGGAUGAAGGUCUUCGGAUCGUAAAACUCUGUUAUUAGGGAAGAACAUAUGUGUAAGUAACUGUGCACAUCUUGACGGUACCUAAUCAGAAAGCCACGGCUAACUACGUG
Molecule: ribosomal RNA, 497 nt
Filed under: uncultured bacterium
Lineage: Bacteria
Description: partial 16S ribosomal RNA
Rfam family: Bacterial small subunit ribosomal RNA
Source: RNAcentral